Molecule: ribosomal RNA, 497 nt
Filed under: uncultured bacterium
Lineage: Bacteria
Description: partial 16S ribosomal RNA
Rfam family: Bacterial small subunit ribosomal RNA
Source: RNAcentral
GACGAACGCUGGCGGCGUGCCUAAUACAUGCAAGUUGAGCGCUGAAGGUUGGUACUUGUACCAACUGGAUGAGCAGCGAACGGGUGAGUAACGCGUGGGGAAUCUGCCUUUGAGCGGGGGACAACAUUUGGAAACGAAUGCUAAUACCGCAUAAAAACUUUAAACACAAGUUUUAAGUUUGAAAGAUGCAAUUGCAUCACUCAAAGAUGAUCCCGCGUUGUAUUAGCUAGUUGGUGAGGUAAAGGCUCACCAAGGCGAUGAUACAUAGCCGACCUGAGAGGGUGAUCGGACACAUUGGGACUGAGACACGGCCCAAACUCCUACGGGAGGCAGCAGUAGGGAAUCUUCGGAAAUGGACGAAAGUCUGACCGAGCAACGCCGCGUGAGUGAAGAAGGUUAUCGGAUCGUAAAACUCUGUUGGUAGAGAAGAACGAUGGUGAGAGUGGAAAGCUCAUCAAGUGACGGUAACUACCCAGAAAGGGACGGCUAACUACGUG